GGUUGAUCCUGCCAGUAGUCAUAUGCUUGUCUCAAGGAUUAAGCCAUGCAUGUCUAAGUAUGAACCUUCAUACGGUGAAACUGCGAACGGCUCAUUACAACAGUCAUCAUUUACUUGGUCAUUGGAUUUACGUCCACCUACAUGGAUACCUGUCGGUAACACCAGAGCUAAUACAUGCACAAACUCCUCGGCCUUUUAGUGGGUGGGGAGGCAUUUAUUAGAUUCCACCUCCCGGCGCUUGCGCCGGUCGGGUGAUUCACAGUAAGUUUGCGAAUCGCUCAAUAGAGCGAUG
Molecule: ribosomal RNA, 292 nt
Filed under: uncultured eukaryote
Lineage: Eukaryota
Description: partial 18S ribosomal RNA
Rfam family: Eukaryotic small subunit ribosomal RNA
Source: RNAcentral